RNAcentral lists this transfer RNA (64 nucleotides) under Donax variegatus. RNAcentral describes it as "tRNA-Lys". The record is from RNAcentral. Lineage: Eukaryota; Metazoa; Mollusca; Bivalvia; Cardiida; Donacidae.
ACCUUGGUAGCUAUGUAAGUUGGUGACUCUUAAUCGCCAGAAGUAAUGUAAUUUACCCAAGGUA